UACGUAGGGGGCAAGCGUUAUCCGGAAUUACUGGGUGUAAAGGGAGCGUAGACGGCAGAGCAAGUCCGGAGUGAAAGCCCGGGGCCCAACCCCGGGACUGCUCUGGAAACUGUUAAGCUGGAGUGCGGGAGGGGCAGGCGGAAUUCCUGGUGUAGCGGUGAAGUGCGUAGAUAUCAGGAGGAACACCGGCGGCGAAGGCGGCCUGCUGGACCGUGACUGACGUUGAGGCUCGAAAGCGUGGGGAGCAAACAGG
RNAcentral lists this ribosomal RNA (253 nucleotides) under uncultured bacterium. RNAcentral describes it as "partial 16S ribosomal RNA". It matches the Rfam family "Bacterial small subunit ribosomal RNA", at positions 524 to 776 of the family's 1533-position model. The record is from RNAcentral.